GACGAACGCUGGCGGCGUGCUUAACAUAUGCAAGUCGAACGGAAAGGCCCUGCUUUUGUGGGGUGCUCGAGUGGCGAACGGGUGAGUAACAAGUGAGUAACCUGCCCUUGACUUUGGGAUAACUUCAGGAAACUGGGGCUAAUACCGGAUAGGAGCUCCUGCUGCAUGGUGGGGGUUGGAAAGUUUCGGCGGUUGGGGUUGGACUCGCGGCUUAUCAGCUUGUUGGUGGGGUAGUGGCUUACCAAGGCUUUGACGGGUUGCCGGCCUGAGAGGGUAACCUGCCACAUUGGGACUGAGAUCCGGCCCAGACUCCUACUGGAGGCAGCAGUGCAAAAUAUUGAACAAUGCGCGGAAGCCUGAUGCAGCAACGCCGCGUGCGGGAUGACGGCCUUCGGGUUGUAACCCGCUUUCGCCUGUGACGAAGCGUGAGUGACGGUAAUGUGUAAAGAAGCUCAGGCUAACUACGUG
This 468-nucleotide ribosomal RNA is filed under the name uncultured bacterium. RNAcentral describes it as "partial 16S ribosomal RNA". It matches the Rfam family "Bacterial small subunit ribosomal RNA", at positions 28 to 507 of the family's 1533-position model. The record is from RNAcentral.